RNAcentral lists this ribosomal RNA (440 nucleotides) under uncultured bacterium. RNAcentral's name for it is "partial 16S ribosomal RNA". It matches the Rfam family "Bacterial small subunit ribosomal RNA", at positions 338 to 795 of the family's 1533-position model. The record is from RNAcentral.
CCUACGGGUGGCAGCAGUAGGGAAUAUUGCUCAAUGGGGGAAACCCUGAAGCAGCAACGCCGCGUGGAGGAUGAAGGUUUUAGGAUUGUAAACUCCUUUUGUUCGAGAAGAUUAUGACAGUAUCUAACGAAUAAGCACCGGCUAACUCCGUGCUAGCAGCCGCGGUAAUACGGAGGGUGCAAGCGUUACUCGGAAUCACUGGGCGUAAAGAGUGCGUAGGCGGGGUAAUAAGUCAGAUGUGAAAUCCUGUAGCUUAACUACAGAACUGCAUUUGAAACUGUUACUCUGGAGUGCUGGAGAGGUAGGUGGAAUUCUUGGUGUAGGGGUAAAAUGCGUAGAGAUCAAGAGGAAUACUCAUUGCGAAGGCGACCUGCUGGAACAUUACUGACGCUGAUGCACGAAAGCGUGGGGAGCAAACAGGAUUAGAUACCCUUGUAGUC